GGCGCACCGGAGCCAGAGGUGAAAUCUCACCAUGCUGCCCAGGCUGGUCUUGAACUCCUGCACUCCAGUGAUCCACCUGCCUCAGCCUCCCAAAGAGCUGGGAUUACAGGCGUGAGCCACCGUGCAAGCCCUACAAUUUUAAAUACUUAAAUGUGGUUAAUGAACUCAAAUCUGCAUGUCUGGUGAAAAUGCCGAGGUUAGUGCUACCCGCAAAAGAUGUGAACGAUGCAGGGCUGGUGAUCCCCAGCACAGCCCCCACCUGACUCCCUAGCUGGGCGAGGCGCAAGGCGGGCAUCCUUGGAGAAUGCCUGUGGAUUUUCACAAAGCUCAGCAGGUGGCUAUUGCAACUGCACCUGCUGCUACUUAUAUGACAUAUUUUCCAGAGCAAAUCGACAUGACCCCUGGCACCUGGAGUGAGCCAUUGGCCUGGAAAAUGCUUUUCUCCCUAUAAUCAUUCACAAGGAUGGGGCUGCUGGGCACGUGGGGCCCUUGCCCAGGCUAUCCUCAUCCACGUCCUCAGCAGCACCUUCAGGCAGGAAGAGCGGGAGUCAGACAUAGGACUCUCCUCCAGGUUCAAGACCACGACCAGCCCAGCCCGUGCAAAGUGCAGGUUAACCUGGGCAGUAGCAGUCGCCCGUGGAAUCAGUGCCAGAACUCUGUGCAAGGGAAGCUCCUCAUCGUGGAUGAACCAGGCUAUGUUUGCGAGAGGAGGGAUUUGCUGGUGCAGGGCUGUAACGUCCACAGCCCUAGUGUGAAGCAGUGCUGCUGUGACGGCUGCUGGCCAUGUCUCUUGCUGCCUGCAGCCCAGCCAGGAGCUUCUCCUGGAGCAUCGUGGUGUUCCAGAACCUCUUCAUGGCAGUCGAAGAUCAGUAUUGAGUCAUGUCCGGCCAAAUGCAGGACCUCAUCCCAGGGCCUCAUCCCACCGACCGGGACCCCAUUGCGAAGAAUUGCUAUGGAGAAAGCCCACCCGAGCUCUUCCCGGCAUGGCGGGUGCAGCGGAUGCUCUCCAGCUUGGGCGAGGAGCUCAUCUCCUGGGGCCCAGCUGCAGCACUCAGGCCAGGCCACGGGAAGAAGACAAAGGCAGCGCAGGGAAACCUUGGCUUUGACCACCUCUCGUGUUGUCAUCUUUGGCCUCUGUGAAGCAGCUUGGAAACUCCAGCUGGUCCCAUCGGGGAAGGAAGAAACCACGGCGAGGCUCCGGCAGUGCUGGUUCUUGGAGGACUGGACGCUGGGGCCUGCACAGGGACCUGUGACUCAGGUUUGUCGGGGGCCAGGUGUCACUGCCAGUUUUGAUCCAGGCCCCUUCACUGUAAAAUUAUUUAUUGGAUUCCUUUGGAGUAGUGGGAAAAUUAUAAUGUUUUAUGUAGGAGAAUGCCUUGUCAUUCUAGCAGAAAAUGUUCAAGGAAAGUAUUUUUGUUGUUCUCGUGUUCUCAAGUUUCAUGAGUUAAAUCAUCCCUUCACCCAGAUAAACUGUUUCAUCUUUUUCUUUUUUUUUUCUUUUUGAGAUGGAGUUUCGCUCUUGUUGCCCAGGCUGGAGUGCAAUGGCGCAUUCUCGGCUCACCACAACCUCUGCCUCCCAGGUUCAAGCGAUUCUCCUGCGUCAGCCUUCGAGUAGCUAGGACUACAGGCAUGUGCCACCAUGCCCGGCUAAUUUUGUAUUUUCAGUAGAGAUGAAGUUUCUCCAUGUUGGUCAGGCUGGCCUCGAACUCCUGACCUCAGGUGAUCCACCUGCCUUGGCCUCCCAAUGUGCUGGGAUUUUAGGCGUGAGCCACUGCGCCGAGCCUGUUUUGUCUUUUAGAACGUGAAAAAUAAU
Molecule: long non-coding RNA, 1813 nt
Filed under: Pan troglodytes (chimpanzee)
Lineage: Eukaryota; Metazoa; Chordata; Mammalia; Primates; Hominidae
Description: lincRNA
Source: RNAcentral